UACGGAGGGAGCUAGCGUUGUUCGGAUAUACUGGGCGUAAAGCGCACGUAGGCGGCGCCGUAAGUUAGGGGUGAAAUCCCGGGGCUCAACCCCGGAACUGCCUUUAAUACUGGGUAUCUCGAGUUCGAGAGAGGUGAGUGGAAUUCCGAGUGUAGAGGUGAAAUUCGUAGAUAUUCGGAGGAACACCAGUGGCGAAGGCGGCUCACUGGCUCGAUACUGACGCUGAGGUGCGAAAGCGUGGGGAGCAAACAGG
This 253-nucleotide ribosomal RNA is filed under the name uncultured bacterium. RNAcentral describes it as "partial 16S ribosomal RNA". It matches the Rfam family "Bacterial small subunit ribosomal RNA", at positions 524 to 776 of the family's 1533-position model. The record is from RNAcentral.